RNAcentral lists this long non-coding RNA (893 nucleotides) under Aotus nancymaae (Ma's night monkey). RNAcentral's name for it is "lncRNA (ENSANAG00000038829.1)". The record is from RNAcentral. Lineage: Eukaryota; Metazoa; Chordata; Mammalia; Primates; Aotidae.
UGGAAAGCACACAGAGGUGAGAUGAAGGUCAAGUUUUUAUGUGAAACUCCAAGCAUUUUGGCAGCGUUAAGUUCUAGUUGUUUUUUUUUUUUUCUGUUUUGCUGUUGCUUGCUUGCUAGUUUAUAUUUGUGAGGAGUUCUCUUGGUCUCACUUCUAGGCUCAAGGGAAUUCAGGCAAGAAAAGAUUUUAAAGGUGUGUUAGGCGAGAGGUAGGAAAAUCAUUGGCAGAGGGUCCUGGAUAAGAUGAGGGCACAGGUGCCAAGGGGAGGGAGGGGUCUCAUUAACAAAGGUGAGGCCAAGCCAGGAUGAGGAGAUGCAGAGGGGCAGGCAGAGCUCAGAGCAGCUGAGGCAGUCCGUACUUAAUGGCACCUGUGUUCUCAAUGAGUUUCACGUCUGUUGAGUCAAAGGACCCAGGAGGUGGAGGCUGAGAAGAUUCAGAAACCCCGAUGCAGUGGACGGGGAAGAAAACCAGCUGUGGUUCCGUAGCAGAAAGGUGGAGCAAACCUGAGGGCCAGCUAACGUCAGGAGUCACGGGCUUGCGACGGGGGAGCCAGGUGGGACGCUGACUUCUUAUGAAAUCUGAGUGGGAGAAGACCAGGAGGAGGAGACAUUAAAGACAGAAGACAGAAGGCAGAAACUCGAUGGAGCCAGGUCACGGAGCAGGCAGGAGGAGAUGGGAGCAAAGGUUAAACACGAGGAUUCGGUUUGGAAUUGUGCCUCUGACUGCCUCUAGAGCGUGUUGCAUCGGGAAAACUCACCAAGACUCAAACCAAGACAGAGAAGAAAAUGAACAUGGAAUAAUGAGGAUGUGGCCUAAAUGGACAGAUUUCUUCUCCAAAUGGGGGUCAGGCAGAAUUGGGCAACCCCAAAGCAACAGUGGAAACUCCCACGACG